RNAcentral lists this ribosomal RNA (466 nucleotides) under uncultured ammonia-oxidizing beta proteobacterium. RNAcentral describes it as "bacterial SSU rRNA". It matches the Rfam family "Bacterial small subunit ribosomal RNA", at positions 198 to 645 of the family's 1533-position model. The record is from RNAcentral. Lineage: Bacteria; Pseudomonadati; Pseudomonadota; Betaproteobacteria.
GGAGGAAAGUAGGGGAUCGCAAGACCUUGCGCUUUUGGAGUGGCCGAUGCCUGAUUAGCUAGUUGGUGGGGUAAGAGCCUACCAAGGCGACGAUCAGUAGUUGGUCUGAGAGGACGACCAGCCACACUGGGACUGAGACACGGCCCAGACUCCUACGGGAGGCAGCAGUGGGGAAUUUUGGACAAUGGGCGAAAGCCUGAUCCAGCAAUGCCGCGUGAGUGAAGAAGGCCUUCGGGUUGUAAAGCUCUUUCAGUCGAGAAGAAAAGGUCGCGACUAAUAAUCGCGACUCAUGACGGUAUCGACAGAAGAAGCACCGGCUAACCACGUGCCAGCAGCCGCGGUAAUACGUAGGGUGCGAGCGUUAAUCGGAAUUACUGGGCGUAAAGGGUGCGCAGGCGGCGUUGUAAGUCAGAUGUGAAAUCCCCGGGCUUAACCUGGGAAUUGCGUUUGAAACUACAAGGCUAGA